Molecule: long non-coding RNA, 519 nt
Filed under: Anser brachyrhynchus (Pink-footed goose)
Lineage: Eukaryota; Metazoa; Chordata; Aves; Anseriformes; Anatidae
Description: lncRNA (ENSABRG00000017707.1)
Source: RNAcentral
AUGCUCUCGAAUCAGAGGGGCCCUGGAUGCAGAGAGGAUGCAGAGAUAAUGCAGGCAGCUGUCCUGGGCUGCUGCUGUUCAGCAGAUGGAGGAAGCAGCAUACAGACCCACAGGGAAGGACAGGCACAAUCAGUUCCUUCCAUCAGAAGUGGCACUGGACCAAAUGUCCUCACACUGGAAAGACCCUGGAGAGUAUUUGUCACCUGCUUUGGACCUGUGGCACCAGACUUGGAUAUGGAAAGACGGCACGGAGCUGGACAGGUGACACUGAGCCGUGCCUCUUCUGUCUCUCACUUUAAAUAGGGGAAGCCUCUGAGAUGGGCUCCGGCAGUGGCCUCUCAUGGGAGUGGAGCUGCUCGCCCCCGGAUGCAGAAGGUUUCCCCUGCCCUGGGUGGCAGUGGCCAGCCUGCCCGUUAUGCUGGGCAGGGGUGACUUCUCCAGGGGUGACAGGUCCUGGCUUUAUUCCUUCCUCAACCUCAGAUGGGGAAGGAGGAGACAGGGCCUAGCAAGCAAAGAAAU